GGUAAUUUGAACUACAGCAGACGACCCGUGAACAUGUAACCACAACGGGGUGACCGUGAUAAGGGCCUCGGUCCUUAUCCCCUAACCCUUCCCGACGUGAGUUCGUGGUGUCUUUUUUGGGGCAUCAUGGAUUCCGUUGGACCAUAACAAAACCCCGGCACGGUAUGUGCCAAGGAAAACAAAAAUGAGAAGGACACUACCUGUUUCGCCCCGUUUGCGGUGUGCGUACAGGUCGUGGCCUCCUUGGAAUCACAAACGACUCUCGGCAACGGAUAUCUCGGCUCACGCAUCGAUGAAGAACGUAGCAAAAUGCGAUACUUGGUGUGAAUUGCAGAAUCCCGUGAACCAUCGAGUUUUUGAACGCAAGUUGCGCCCGAAGCCAUCCGGCUGAGGGCACGCCUGCCUGGGCGUCACGCAUCGCGUCGCUCCCCACCAUACCUCCCCAACGGGUUGGCAUGGUGUUGGGGGCGGAUAAUGGCCUCCCGUGCUUGUGUUUCGGUUGGCCUAAAUAAGAGUUCCCUUCGGCGGACACACGACUAGUGGUGGUUGAAUAGACCCUCGUCUUUUGUUGCGUGUCGUGAGCUGUAAGGGUAGCCCUCAUCAAAGACCCCAUUGUAUCGUCUUCGGAUGAUGCUUCGACCGCGACCCCAGGUCAGGCGGGACUACCCGCUGAGUUUAAGCAUAUCAAAA
This 690-nucleotide ribosomal RNA is filed under the name Lactuca sativa (garden lettuce). RNAcentral describes it as "eukaryotic LSU rRNA". The stretch from base 258 to 413 matches the Rfam family "5.8S ribosomal RNA". Lineage: Eukaryota; Viridiplantae; Streptophyta; Magnoliopsida; Asterales; Asteraceae. The record is from RNAcentral.